UCCCUUCCUCUCCCAACAACAGACAACCUUGUGAGCUUACAUCCUUUGGUGUCCUGGGAUGAAUGAUAUCAAGUACUGUCCUUCAGAAGACAUGGCUGCUGAUGCACUCACCAAGCCGCUGACCAGAGGAAAGAACCUGCACAACAGACAACCUUCAUAACUUAGGUGGCUGACAUGUGAAAAGGGGUGUUGGUAUAGCAAUUGUCAGUUCUUCAGUCAUGAAAGAGUUAAUGAUGUUAGUAAACAUUAGAUAAAUUAGCAUAGCAGUAGCACGCAGAACUUGAAGCAGUCUAGCAGGAGGUGCACCGGCAUGCGUGGCAGCCUGCGCCUGCGUGCAUUCGU
Molecule: long non-coding RNA, 342 nt
Organism: Sphaerodactylus townsendi
Lineage: Eukaryota; Metazoa; Chordata; Lepidosauria; Squamata; Sphaerodactylidae
Exons: 3
Source: RefSeq, a predicted model, not a curated record